UAAAGGAUGGGUGAGCAGGGAAGAGUCACACAUGAUUACAGUUCAUUUAUAUACUCCCUGCAGGGGGAAGAGCAAGAACUUCUCCCAUUUCACUGGGGGGAAGACUGAGGAAACAAAAGGUGUCAGGCAAGUGGCAGAAGACGGACUGACCUGUAGGGAUUGAGAGUGCAGACUGUGACAGCAGGGAAGACGAGCUUGUCAGAGUUGAGGUUGAUGUUGAGGCUGACAGGGUAGCUGAAGUACUCUUCAAACAUCAGGGCAAACUGCCAGUACAUCAUGCCAAACGUGCAGAGCCAGAGCACGGCCCAGAAGGCCGUCUUCAUGCGGUUGUGCUUGGAGCACACCAGGCGGAUGGCACCGUGGAUGGUGGUAUUGUUGCAGAAGAACUGGAAGAGCUCUCGGUAGGAACGGUGGAACUCGAUCAGAGCCUCCUCCUCCUCUGUGGGCUGCUGGGGGACUUCAGGUUCGGGGCCCAGCCCCUGCUCCUCACGCUUGUCCCCCUUCAUGAGCCCUUGGAUGGGUGGGGGAGGGCAAGGGUCUUGCUCCUUGAGCUUGUCCCCCUUCAUUGAGCCCUUAGGUAGGUUGGGGAGGUGAUGGUCAGGGUCAGGCUGAGCUCAGGGCUUUGGGAGCCCUCCCUCAUCAACAACUUGGGCCCAGAGUGAGGCUGGCUUGGGCCAUGCCCACAUCACACCCUGAGUCCACUUUCCCCCCUCUCCUCCCUCCCGCCCUCCUCCACCUCUCCAGGAGCCAGCUGACCUGCUGGAGUCCGGGCCAAGGAGCUGGCUCUGGGCUUCCCUGGAGUGGCCUCUCUGCUUCCCAGAUAAGGCCACUUUUGCUUUCCGCGCUAACACCUUCCUUUCUUUCUCCACAGCAGGAGGCCUCUGCCUGCUGGUCAGUCGGCCACUGGCCCUCUUCCUUCAGGACUGUGGCUUGGCUUCUGCCUCUCACCCCUUCUGCCUGCCUUCAGCUUCUCUUCGGGUCUCUCUCUCUCAGUUCUCCUCUUCCUUGCCAGUCUCCUCUCCCUGUGCCAGGCUCUCUGAUCCUGCCUCUCUUCCUCUUCCUCCUCAGCCUUUCCCUUUCUCCUCCUGGGCCCUCUCCUCCUGCUCUGUCCUGACUCCCUCUCUGCCCUGGGACUGCAGGGCUCCAGGAGGUCUGAGCUGCCUCCUUCUCCCUACUCCCAGGUGUGGCUGGGCUAGGACUGGUUCCUUUCCAGUUGAAUCUGGCAGCCAAGCCUCUCCUCCCCCUCACCUGACAGGUGCAGCGGCCUGGCCUGGGAGCCCGCCUGCCUGCCUGUUGGCCAGGGAUGGAAGGGACAGAAGCCUCAUUAGCAUCUCAAUUAAAGAUGGUGUCUGAAAUCCAGCCAUUAAUGACAAACAGUCUUCAUCUCAAAGGCUGAGAACUGCAAGGUCUGAUCUGGAGAGUGUGGUGAUCCUGGCACGUCCUGCCAAGGUACAGGAGCAGCUUAGAGCCCACAGCAUUAUAGAUCCGGAAUGGGCCAGAGCAAGCUUGUUGUGAGAAAAAUAGAAAGCUGAGACCUGUGCUUUUGUCAGGGCUCCAUUUGAAAUAAUAUCUUUUAAAAGUGUAAAAAUAAUACACAAAUAUAUUUUGUCACAAUCGUUUCCCAGCAAUACACAAGUAAAAGGAAUAAUAACUGUU
Marmota monax (woodchuck) is the source of this 1656-nucleotide long non-coding RNA. RefSeq lists it as uncharacterized. The record is from RefSeq and is a predicted model, not a curated record. Lineage: Eukaryota; Metazoa; Chordata; Mammalia; Rodentia; Sciuridae. The transcript has 3 exons.